ACCGGCGCACGGGUGCGUAACGCGUGGGAAUCUACCCAUAGGUAAGGAACAACGUUUGGAAACGAACGCUAAUACCUUAUAAUGACUCCGGUCCAAAGAUUUAUCGCCUAUGGAUGAGCCCGCGUCUGAUUAGCUAGUUGGUGAGGUAACGGCUCACCAAGGCGAUGAUCAGUAGGGGGUCUGAGAGGAUGAUCCCCCACACUGGGACUGAGACACGGCCCAGACUCCUACGGGAGGCAGCAGUAAGGAAUAUUGGACAAUGGAGGAAACUCUGAUCCAGCCAUGCCGCGUGAAUGAAGAAGGCCUUAGGGUUGUAAAGUUCUUUUAAUCGUGAAGAUAAUGACGGUAGCGAUAGAAAAAGCUCCGGCUAAAUUCGUGCCAGCAGCCGCGGUAAUACGAAUGGAGCAAGCGUUGUUCGGAAUCACUGGGCUUAAAGCGUGCGUAGGCGGAAGCGUAAGUCAGGAGUGAAAUCCCGGGGCUCAACCCCGGAACUGCUCUUGAAACUACGCUUCUAGAAUCCGAUAGAGGUCAGGAGAAUUCCUAGUGUAGAGGUGAAAUUCGCAGAUAUUAGGAGGAAUACCAGUGGCGUAGGCGCCUGACUGGGUCGGUAUUGACGCUGAGGUACGAAAGCGUGGGUAGCAAACAGGAUUAGAUACCCUGGUAGUCCACGCCGUAAACGAUGUGUGCUAGUUGUC
Molecule: ribosomal RNA, 695 nt
Filed under: uncultured Alphaproteobacteria bacterium
Lineage: Bacteria; Pseudomonadati; Pseudomonadota; Alphaproteobacteria
Description: bacterial SSU rRNA
Rfam family: Bacterial small subunit ribosomal RNA
Source: RNAcentral